GACAGAGGGUGCAAGCGGUGUCCGGAGUUACUGGGCGUAAAGGGCGAGGGGGCGGUCUGCGGCGUCGGCGCGGAAAGCGCCCCGCUUAACGGGGCGAGGCGUGCCGAUACGCGCAGACUUGAGGCGAGCAGAGGGUGGUGGAAUUCCGGGUGGUGCGGUGAAAUGCGUAGAGAUCCGGAGGAACGCCAGUGGGGAAGCCGGCCACCUGGGCUUGGCCUGACGCUGCGGCGCGACAGCGUGGGGAGCAAACCGG
This 253-nucleotide ribosomal RNA is filed under the name uncultured bacterium. Its description in RNAcentral is "partial 16S ribosomal RNA". It matches the Rfam family "Bacterial small subunit ribosomal RNA", at positions 524 to 776 of the family's 1533-position model. The record is from RNAcentral.